This 1691-nucleotide ribosomal RNA is filed under the name Periophthalmus cantonensis. RNAcentral's name for it is "16S ribosomal RNA". It matches the Rfam family "Bacterial large subunit ribosomal RNA", at positions 274 to 2836 of the family's 2925-position model. Lineage: Eukaryota; Metazoa; Chordata; Actinopteri; Gobiiformes; Gobiidae. The record is from RNAcentral.
ACACAACUUUCUUAACAGCUAGCCCUCCUCCAAACUUCAACAAAAACCAUUAAUACCCCCAAAUGCACUAGCACAACAAAACAAACCAUUUUACCCCCCUAGUAUGGGCGACAAAAAAGGAACACAGGCGCAAUAGAAAAAGUACCGCAAGGGAAUGCUGAAAGAGAAAUGAAAAAACUCAGUAAAGACUAAAAAAGCAGAGACACAACCUCGUACCUUUUGCAUCAUGAAUUAGCUAGCAACCCUCAAGCAAAGAGCCCUUUAGUUUGAGCCCCCGAAACUGGGUGAGCUACUCCAAGACCGCCUAUAACAGGGCUAACCCGUCUCUGUGGCAAAAGAGUGGGGAGAGCUUAGAGUAGAGGUGACAGACCUAUCGAACCCAGUUAUAGCUGGUUGCCUACAAAAUGAACAGGAGUUCAGCCUUCUGGUUUCUUUAUUCAAAACUGGUAACACCCACGAGUGACACCAAGAAACCUAAAGAGUUAUUCAAGAGGGGUACACCCCCCUUGAAAAAAGACACAACUUUACAAGCAGGCUAAAGAUUAUAAGACCCAAAGGCAAUGUCCCUUAGUAGGCCUAAAAGCAGCCACCCAUACAGAAAGCGUUAAAGCUCAAGUAUUUUGCCCCCUAUGAUUUCAACAACAAAUUCUUAAGCCCCUCCAAUUUUAUAGUAGGCCUUUUUAUGCAAACAUAAAAGAGAUACUGCUAACAUGAGUAAUAAGGGAGCUAAGCCUCCCUCUAAGGCACCUGUUUACAUCAGAACGAACCCUCACUGAAAAUUAACGCCCCCAACUAAAGAGGGAACUAAGACAAUUAAGUUAACCAAGAAAACCUCUUAACCCAAAACAGCGUUGACCCUACACAGGUGUGCCCAAAGAAAGACUAAAAGAAAAAGAAGGAACUCGGCAAACAUUGGCCUCGCCUGUUUACCAAAAACAUCGCCUCUUGAACCUUAACAUAUAAGAGGUCCCGCCUGCCCUGUGACUCAUGAGUUUAACGGCCGCAGUAUUUUGACUGUGCAAAGGUAGCGUAAUCACUUGUCUUUUAAAUGGAGACCAGUAUGAAUGGCAUAACGAGGGCCAAGCUGUCUCCUUUUUCCAGUCAAUGAAAUUGAUUCCCCUGUGCAGAAGCAGGGAUAUAAACAUAAGACGAGAAGACCCUAUGGAGCUUAAGACACAAGACAGCUCAUGUUAAAAACCCAUAUUAAAUGGAAAAAACCAAAUGGACUCUGUCCUUUUGUCUUUGGUUGGGGCGACCAUGGAGUAACAAAAAACCCCCAUGUGGAACAGGGCCUAGGCCCUUAAAGCUAGAGCCACAGCUCUAACAAGCAGAACAUCUGACCUUCAAGAUCCGGCAAAGCCGAUCAACGGACCGAGUUACCCUAGGGAUAACAGCGCAAUCCCCUUUUAGAGCCCAUAUCGACAAGGGGGUUUACGACCUCGAUGUUGGAUCAGGACACCCUAAUGGUGCAGCCGCUAUUAAGGGUUCGUUUGUUCAACGAUUAAAGUCCUACGUGAUCUGAGUUCAGACCGGAGAAAUCCAGGUCAGUUUCUAUCUAUGUAGUGCUCUUUUCUAGUACGAAAGGACCGAAAAGAGGAGGCCCAUGCCCCAAGCAAGCCUCACCCCUACCUAGUGAAACCAACUAAAAUAGGUAAAAGGGCACACCUUUUUCCUUCCUGAGAAAAAGGCAA